GAUGAACGCUGGCGGCGUGCCUAAUACAUGCAAGUCGAGCGAACGGACGAGAAGCUUGCUCCUCUGACGUUAGCGGCGGACGGGUGAGUAACACGUGGAUAACCUACCUAUAAGACUGGGAUAACUUCGGGAAACCGGAGCUAAUACCGGAUAAUAUUUUGAACCGCAUGGUUCAAUAGUGAAAGACGGUUUUGCUGUCACUUAUAGAUGGAUCCGCGCUGCAUUAGCUAGUUGGUAAGGUAACGGCUUACCAAGGCAACGAUGCGUAGCCGACCUGAGAGGGUGAUCGGCCACACUGGAACUGAGACACGGUCCAGACUCCUACGGGAGGCAGCAGUAGGGAAUCUUCCGCAAUGGGCGAAAGCCUGACGGAGCAACGCCGCGUGAGUGAUGAAGGUCUUCGGAUCGUAAAACUCUGUUAUUAGGGAAGAACAUAUGUGUAAGUAACUAUGCACGUCUUGACGGUACCUAAUCAGAAAGCCACGGCUAACUACGUG
RNAcentral lists this ribosomal RNA (497 nucleotides) under uncultured bacterium. RNAcentral's name for it is "partial 16S ribosomal RNA". It matches the Rfam family "Bacterial small subunit ribosomal RNA", at positions 28 to 507 of the family's 1533-position model. The record is from RNAcentral.